This 420-nucleotide ribosomal RNA is filed under the name Triticum aestivum (bread wheat). Its description in RNAcentral is "partial small subunit ribosomal RNA". The record is from RNAcentral. Lineage: Eukaryota; Viridiplantae; Streptophyta; Magnoliopsida; Poales; Poaceae.
CUGCAUCGCACAUUCUUCCUGCCUCCGGCAGUGAAACUCUCGCCGACCGGAUCGUCGAUCUGUAGCCGUAAGAUGCCACCUUUGCUAGCCCCGGCAACCGGGUCCUCAUGGGCAUCGCUGCCAGAAGAUCUGGUUCGCCAUGUUGGCUGGCGCUUGCUGGCCGGCAACGUGAUGGACUACGUUCGUUUGGGUGCUGUUUGCACCAAUUGGCGGUCUGCCACCAUGUCAACGCAUGGCCGUGGUGUCAUUGACCCACGCUUUCACCCGCGCCGCUGGAUGAUGUUCGAGGACCACGGGCUUUAUUCUGGCCAUGAAAGGCUCGGUGAACACACACGCUCCUUCAACCUUGACUCUGGGGUUUUUGUUCGCGUCCGGCUCCCGCUGUUCAAGGAUCAUUGUGUUCUCGACUCGGUCGAGAGC